This 253-nucleotide ribosomal RNA is filed under the name uncultured Eubacteriales bacterium. Its description in RNAcentral is "uncultured Clostridiales bacterium partial 16S ribosomal RNA". It matches the Rfam family "Bacterial small subunit ribosomal RNA", at positions 524 to 776 of the family's 1533-position model. Lineage: Bacteria; Bacillati; Bacillota; Clostridia; Eubacteriales. The record is from RNAcentral.
UACGUAGGGGGCAAGCGUUAUCCGGAUUUACUGGGUGUAAAGGGAGCGUAGACGGCAGAGCAAGUCCGGAGUGAAAGCCCGGGGCCCAACCCCGGGACUGCUCUGGAAACUGUUAAGCUGGAGUGCGGGAGGGGCAGGCGGAAUUCCUGGUGUAGCGGUGAAAUGCGUAGAUAUCACACAGAACACCGAUUGCGAAGGCAUCUGACGAAUCGGAGAUUGACGCUGAUGCACGAAAGCGUGGGUAUCGAACAGG